Castor canadensis (American beaver) is the source of this 120-nucleotide ribosomal RNA. The record is from Ensembl. NCBI's taxonomy places the organism in Eukaryota, Metazoa, Chordata, Mammalia, Rodentia, Castoridae.
GUCUAUGGCCAUACCGCCCUGAAUGUACCCAAUCUCAUCUGAUCUCAGAAGCUAAGCAGGGUUGGGCCUGGUUAGUACUUGGAUGGGAGACAGAUCUUCAGCGGAGACUGCUCAGAGACA